Molecule: long non-coding RNA, 669 nt
Filed under: Mytilus galloprovincialis (Mediterranean mussel)
Lineage: Eukaryota; Metazoa; Mollusca; Bivalvia; Mytilida; Mytilidae
Source: RNAcentral
UCGUUCUUAUUUUGUACUGUUACACCACUGUCCUAGGUUAAGGGGAGGAUUGGGAUCCCGCUAAUAUGUUUAACCUUGCCACAUUCUGUAUGUAUGUGCCUGUCUAAAGUCAGGAGCCUGUAAUUUAGUGGUUGUCGUUUGAUGCUGUGUUACAUAUUGUUUUUUGUUCAUUUUUUUAUACACAAAUUAGGCCGUUAGUUUUCUCGUUUGAAUUGUUCUAUAUUUGCCAUUUCAGGACCUUUUAUAUAUAGCUAACUAUGCGGUAUGAGCUUUGUUCAUUGUUGAAGGUCGUUAAGUGACCUAUACUUGUUAAUUUCUGUGUCCCUUGGUCUCUUGUUAAAAGUUGUCUCAUUGGCAAUCAUUCCACAUCUUCUUUGUUUUAUGUCAUAUGCUCAUAUGCAUUGAUAAUUUUCUUGAAAUAGUCAUAGAUUUUUGGUGUAUCCAUCUGAUGAGUUAAGCCUUAUUGUUGUCAAUAUUUUUAUUUAUUUUGAUGCUUUAUACGACUACAGGAUAUUUUCUAGUGUUUUACCUCUUAUUGUUUACGUGGCGAGGAUCUUCAGAGGUCUCCACGCUUCACAGAUUGCUCUGAUGUGCAACGGCUGUUAUGCCAGACAAGCUGGGGCCGAGGGAUGUCAGAGCACGUAUUAUAUAAAAAGUAGAUAUUUCGCC